This 253-nucleotide ribosomal RNA is filed under the name uncultured bacterium. RNAcentral's name for it is "partial 16S ribosomal RNA". It matches the Rfam family "Bacterial small subunit ribosomal RNA", at positions 524 to 776 of the family's 1533-position model. The record is from RNAcentral.
UACAGGGGGGGCAAGCGUUGUUCGGAAUUACUGGGCGUAAUGGGUUUGUAGGGGGCUUGUUAAGUCAGACGUGAAAUCCCUCAGCUUAACUGGGGAACUGCGUCUGAUACUGAUGAGCUUGAGUGCAGGAGAGGAACGCGGAAUUCCAGGUGUAGCGGUGAAAUGCGCAGAUAUCAGGAGGAACACCAGCGGCGAAGGCGGUGCUCUGGGCCGGAACUGACGCUGAGGAGCGAAAGCGUGGGGAGCGAACAGG